RNAcentral lists this ribosomal RNA (420 nucleotides) under uncultured eukaryote. RNAcentral describes it as "bacterial SSU rRNA". It matches the Rfam family "Eukaryotic small subunit ribosomal RNA", at positions 592 to 1017 of the family's 1831-position model. The record is from RNAcentral.
CAAUAGCGUAUAUUAAAGUUGUUGCGGUUAAAAGCUCGUAGUUGGAGUUCUGCCAGGUGACGCUCGUCCGCCCAAGUGGUGUGUACAGGGCGUGCAUCUGGCCCUUUCAAGGGGAACGUGUCUGCUCUUUAUUGAGUGGUGCGAGAUCCUUGACUUUUACUUUGAGGAAAUCAGAGUGUUCCAAGCAGGCUCUCGUCGUGUAUAGCUCAGCAUGGAAUAAUAGCAUUGGACUUCGUUUCUAAGCUGUUGGUUGCAAGAAGCGAGGUAAUGAUGAAGAGGGAUAGUUGGGGGCAUUCGUACUGGACAGCUAGAGGUGAAAUUCUACGAUUUGUCCAAGACGAACUAAUGCGAAGGCAUCUGCCAAGGAUGUUUUCAUUGAUCAAGAACGAAAGUCAGGGUAUCGAAGACGAUUAGAUACCA